AAUAGAUACCCUGGUAGUCCACGCCGUAAACGAUGAGUGCUAAGUGUUAGAGGGUUUCCGCCCUUUAGUGCUGCAGCUAACGCAUUAAGCACUCCGCCUGGGGAGUACGGUCGCAAGACUGAAACUCAAAGGAAUUGACGGGGGCCCGUACAAGCGGUGGAGCAUGUGGUUUAAUUCGAAGCAACGCGAAGAACCUUACCAGGUCUUGACAUCCUCUGACAACUCUAGAGAUAGAGUGUUCCCCUUCGGGGGACAGAGUGACAGGUGGUGCAUGGUUGUCGUCAGCUCGUGUCGUGAGAUGUUGGGUUAAGUCCCGCAACGAGCGCAACCCUUGAUCUUAGUUGCCAGCAUUUAGUUGGGCACUCUAAGGUGACUGCCGGUGACAAACCGGAGGAAGGUGGGGAUGACGUCAAAUCAUCAUGCCCCUUAUGACCUGGGCUACACACGUGCUACAAUGGAUGGUACAAAGGGCUGCAAGCCGCGAGGUCAAGCCAAUCCCAUAAAACCCAUUCUCAGUUCGGA
RNAcentral lists this ribosomal RNA (522 nucleotides) under uncultured bacterium. RNAcentral describes it as "bacterial SSU rRNA". It matches the Rfam family "Bacterial small subunit ribosomal RNA", at positions 777 to 1297 of the family's 1533-position model. The record is from RNAcentral.